CUGCAGCAUCCGCACAACACCACCUCCGAACGCUCAAACUUGCUACUUUCCAUUUUUUCUCUUGCCGCGCACUUCGUCACCCCUAGUUGCUUUUCCAACCGCUCCACCUCACGAACAGAUCAGCAUGUCCGCCAUCAGCUCACUGCACUUCAUCUUCAAGGGGAAGAACUACAUGGUCCCUGAGAGUUUCGUGACGAAGGAACACCCGGGCGGCAAGGCCGUCCUCAUGGCGCUGGCAGACAAGGACAUCACGGAGGCUUUUGAGGAAGCCGGUCACUCGAACGACGCCAUGGAGAUGCUGGAGGAGUGGUGCGCCGACGUUUCCGCGACAGAGAAAGCCGAUCUGCUGAAGCGCGCUGAGGCGCGCCACGCCGAGGAGGAUGAGUGGCGUUGGCGCAGCACAGCGAUCGCUUUCAGCGUGGCCGCUGUUGUGGCCGCCGUGGUACUUCGCAAGAGCUCGUAGGAAGGGGCAGCUUGGUGUGCACUCAUUUUGAUCGAUGCACACGAGCGCAUCAGAAGCCCCCAAAGAGUUUUUUUUUUUGCGAAACGCCCACUGCUAUGUCUUCUCCGCAUCGGCGCAAGGAGCGUGACCAAGGCAGAGCCCCCUUCCCACCUUGUGUGUGUGUGUCUCUGUGCGUGUAUGAUGUGUAACCUAAUAUUUCUACUACUAUGUUUUGUUGCCUCCACUUCUUCGUUAUGCGCCGUGUUGCCGUUUUUUUCUGCCUCCUCGAUUCCGUGUCCGCGUUCUCUCUUCAGUUAGAUCGAACGCAACGCGCAGGCACGCACACACUACGUGAGACGUGAUGCCGGCACAGUUGACGGGGAAGCCUCUCUUAUAUAUAUAUAACAGGUUGUCGGUUCUCUCCGUCUCUCUCUUGCCCGUCUCACCGCCUUCCCUGUUGAGGUUUCUCUUGAUCCCCGCCUGCGUCUCCUCUGAUCCCUCGCCAGAGACAACACGGCGCCGACCCGCCCUCUUUGUCCUGCCCUUUUUUUUGUCUCCCCGUCUUCUCGAUUCUCUUCUCCUUCCUCUCCCAUGUGACCCCCCUUACCACCACCGCUGUGAUGGGGUGUGCCACGCGCUCGCACAAGUGCGCAGGCGUGGCCCUGUACGUCGGCACAUACGCUUUCUCUGCUUGUCCUUUCUGCGCCCGCGAGCGGAGAAGGAAGCGUGACGGUCUUUCAGUGGAGAUCGCAGCGACACAGAACGAGAUGCCCGUCCGCUGACGCCUCGUUCCUUGUUCUCGCUGCAUUUGGCGGGAGACGGAGAAAGGAGGGGGGCUGGGCGGUACUUCAUCACGUGCGGAGCAGGAACAGAGAAAUGCGGUCAUCAGCGAGCGUGCGCCUCUUUUCUUUCUUUUCCUAUUCGCAUGUCUUCCUUUUCAGGUUUUGCGAUGAUGCGCUCGUCUUUUUUGUUCCUGCGUCACGUCCAUUGAUGUGUCGAUGCCCUUGCUCCGCUCCUGCUUCGCAAGGCACUCGAUUGGAGUUCUUGCACGUCCGGAUGGAGGGGGAGUGGCGUGGUGAUGCGGUACAAAAGCGGGGCAGGGCAGGCGACGAUGCGCGCAGUCAUGUGACAGCGUUGAACUCUUCCUUUAUAUUUGUACGACGCGUGCUCUUGUUUCCCCCCUCUCUGUGUGCGUGAGUUUUUAUCUUUUUUGUUCGGGUUUUCUUUCCGAUGGCACAGAGCUGCGCCCCGCUCGUACGCAUUCAUGCCUCAUCGAAGGUUUGUGUAGUCAUCUACAGCACAAAAAAAAUGCAGCGAGCGAAAGACACGACAGGGCAGCACGAGGGAGGGAGGCGUGGGUGGCCCUGCCGUGUAAGGAAAGAAAUAGAAGGCGUGAAUGCACUGGCCGUCCACAGCGCCCUUGCUCUGCUCCGCUCCACCAAGCCUUUAUCGCUUGUCCCCCUCAGUGUCUCUGCGUCAGCGCCCCGGGACUAUUUCG
RNAcentral lists this unclassified non-coding RNA (1940 nucleotides) under Leishmania donovani. RNAcentral's name for it is "gene:LdHU3.31.1950(CDS-product:Cytochrome_b5-like _Heme/Steroid_binding_domain_containing_protein_putative)". The record is from RNAcentral. Lineage: Eukaryota; Euglenozoa; Kinetoplastea; Trypanosomatida; Trypanosomatidae.